RNAcentral lists this ribosomal RNA (265 nucleotides) under uncultured Atopobium sp. RNAcentral's name for it is "partial 16S ribosomal RNA". It matches the Rfam family "Bacterial small subunit ribosomal RNA", at positions 91 to 354 of the family's 1533-position model. Lineage: Bacteria; Bacillati; Actinomycetota; Coriobacteriia; Coriobacteriales; Atopobiaceae. The record is from RNAcentral.
UAAAGUGGCGAACGGCUGAGUAACACGUGGGCAACCUGCCCUUUGCACUGGGAUAGCCUCGGGAAACCGAGGUUAAUACCGGAUACUCCAUAUUUGUCGCAUGGCGAAUAUGGGAAAGCUCCGGCGGCAAAGGAUGGGCCCGCGGCCUGUUAGCUAGUUGGUGGGGUAGUGGCCUACCAAGGCAAUGAUGGGUAGCCGGGUUGAGAGACCGACCGGCCAGAUUGGGACUGAGACACGGCCCAGACUCCUACGGGAGGCAGCAGAG